This 394-nucleotide ribosomal RNA is filed under the name uncultured bacterium. RNAcentral's name for it is "partial 16S ribosomal RNA". It matches the Rfam family "Bacterial small subunit ribosomal RNA", at positions 523 to 918 of the family's 1533-position model. The record is from RNAcentral.
AUACGUAGGGGGCGAGCGUUGUCCGGAAUGAUUGGGCGUAAAGGGCGCGUAGGCGGCCCGGUAAGUCUGGAGUGAAAGUCCUGUUUUUAAGAUGGGAAUUGCUUUGGAUACUGUCGGGCUUGAGUGCAGGAGAGGUAAGUGGAAUUCCCAGUGUAGCGGUGAAAUGCGUAGAGAUUGGGAGGAACACCAGUGGCGAAGGCGGCUUUCUGGACUGAAACUGACGCUGAGACACGAAAGCGUGGGGAGCAAACAGGAUUAGAUACCCUGGUAGUCCACGCUGUAAACGAUGAAUACUAGGUGUCGGGGCCGUAGGCCUCGGUGCCGCAGUUAACGCAAUAAGUAUUCCACCUGGGGAGUACGGCCGCAAGGCUGAAACUCAAAGGAAUUGACGGGG